CACAAGCACCACAUCCAGACACAGGCCGCCGCCGCCCCUUCGCAGCAGCACCACGCCCCGGCCAGCACCGGUCGCCGCCGCCGGCCCGCCGCCUCCCUCGCCCCUCCGUCAUCCCCUCCCCUCUGGCCCAGGGCGCUGCGCCGCCGUGCGCACCCAGGGAGGGGGCCAAAGCGCUGCAGGGCACGUGCUCCCCAACGCGCUUGACACCACGACCACCCACUAGGUCAACGCCGCGGAGCUCCCCAACGGGCAUUACACGAUUUUUUUAAUUGGUCUUUCUUGUUUAGUAACAUUUUUGCUUUCAUUCACUGGACCCGUGGGCUGGUAACAUUUUUGCUUCAUUCAUUCACUGGACCCGUGUGUGCUGAUGAAAUGGGCCGUAACGAGUAGGCCCGGGAAGUCGAAAUCGACACGAACGAAACACAAGGGUCAUCAACCACACUUGGCCAGUACACCCGCUGCCGGCUGCUCGUCCUUCUCGUGGUCUUCGUCGCCGGCCACGGUCCGAGGUCGUGAAGCCAUGGCCGCCGCCAGCGUCCACUAUGCCAGGGCAUAUAUUCUGAUGAGCUUUGAGUGUGGUGCUAGCAGUUCUUCAAGAAAACUAUUAUCUCGUCGCAAGUUUUGUGCAUUGGUGGAGCCAACUUUAUCACAUAAUGAACUUCGGAAAUCAAGUCAAUUGAUUCAAUAUCGGGAGUUCAUAUCGCCCAAGUCAUCUCUGAAAGAACUAGCUUGCGAAGAAUUGGUCGGUGGAAUGGAUGACCAAUGGUCCAAUAAUACUUCUUACCCGGACUCAGUUUCAAGGGAACAUUGUUCCGUGAACAAGAGAAAUGUGGAGAAGCAUGUACAAGAUCAUCAACUUCACCAUCCACAAGGUGGCACUUACUUCACUGGUUUGUCGAAGAAGGAAAUCGAGAGAAGACGGAAGAUUGGCGCUGCAAACAAGGGGCAGGUUCCCUGGACAAAAGGCAAGAAAUGGAGUGAAGAGCACAAGAAACUCAUCAGUCAAAGGACUACUCAAGCUCUGAGAGAUCCCAAGGUGAUGUCAUGUUAGGAAGAAAAUGGGUCACCAUCACCAGCAUAGACAAGCGAGCAAAGACAAAAUAAGUGCUGCGUUGAGGAAGAUCUGGGAGAGACGAAUACUUUCUGUCAGAUCAAGGCAGAAGUUUAUGCAAAUAUGGUCAGAUAGUAUAGCAGAAGCAGCAAAGAGAGGUGACUACAGCCAAGAUAAGCUUGAUUGGGACAGCUAUGAAAGGAUUAAAUCCGAGAUGAUAUCUAUGUUCCUGUGGAACAAAGAGAGGGAACAUACAAUCAAAAAGCUUAAAAAGGCAGUGGCGAAAAUAGCUGCCAAGAAGCUUCAAGCAGCAGGGAGAAGGAAAGUACAGGCUGCCGGGACAAAGAAGUUGAACCCUGAGAAGUUGAUACAAAAACCGGAUGCUCAACUGACAAGAGUGGUAGUAUCUGCAAGACCAAAGCUUAAGGAGAGACUAACCAAGUGGCACCGUCGAAAAAAAGAGCUUGAACAUGUGAUAAGUUCACGGGCAAGGAUAAGAGGACUGCCAAAUCUAUCACGAAGGCAGAUAACAGCAGAAAGUCGUGCAGAAGUGGAAUUGGUCGUGCUUGACGCUCCUUCAAGCCCGGAUGCAGGAGCAUCCGUUAUCUAGGAAGGAUGGGUGUCUAACUGUCGAUGCGCUGGUACAUGACUCGAGCUUCCGAUGAAUCGGGAGCUUGCUGACACCUUACAAAGAAGCUCAUGACCACAUCAGGCAUGGUGCUUUUGUGUCCAUCAGAAACGAAGGAAGGUUUGAGUGGAAAUUGUGUGUAGCAUUCGUAAGCAAAACGAGAACAAACUGGCUGAGAAAAUUGUGACUUAUGAGUUGUGAUCACUUCGUUGAUCUGAGCGAAUAUUUGCUUUUCAUUUU
RNA transcript from Panicum virgatum (switchgrass), 1919 nucleotides. RefSeq lists it as uncharacterized. The record is from RefSeq and is a predicted model, not a curated record. NCBI's taxonomy places the organism in Eukaryota, Viridiplantae, Streptophyta, Magnoliopsida, Poales, Poaceae. The transcript has 6 exons.